GAUGAACGCUGGCGGCGUGCCUAAUACAUGCAAGUCGAGCGAACAGACGAGGAGCUUGCUCCUUUGACGUUAGCGGCGGACGGGUGAGUAACACGUGGGUAACCUACCUAUAAGACUGGGAUAACUUCGGGAAACCGGAGCUAAUACCGGAUAAUAUUUUGAACCGCAUGGUUCGAUAGUGAAAGAUGGCUUUGCUAUCACUUAUAGAUGGACCUGCGCCGUAUUAGCUAGUUGGUAAGGUAACGGCUUACCAAGGCAACGAUACGUAGCCGACCUGAGAGGGUGAUCGGCCACACUGGAACUGAGACACGGUCCAGACUCCUACGGGAGGCAGCAGUAGGGAAUCUUCCGCAAUGGGCGAAAGCCUGACGGAGCAACGCCGCGUGAGUGAUGAAGGUCUUCGGAUCGUAAAACUCUGUUAUUAGGGAAGAACAAACGUGUAAGUAACUGUGCACGUCUUGACGGUACCUAAUCAGAAAGCCACGGCUAACUACGUGCCAGCAGCCGCGGUAAUACGUAGGUGGCAAGCGUUAUCCGGAAUUAUUGGGCGUAAAGCGCGCGUAGGCGGUUUUUUAAGUCUGAUGUGAAAGCCCACGGCUCAACCGUGGAGGGUCAUUGGAAACUGGAAAACUUGAGUGCAGAAGAGGAAAGUGGAAUUCCAUGUGUAGCGGUGAAAUGCGCAGAGAUAUGGAGGAACACCAGUGGCGAAGGCGACUUUCUGGUCUGUAACUGACGCUGAUGUGCGAAAGCGUGGGGAUCAAACAGGAUUAGAUACCCUGGUAGUCCACGCCGUAAACGAUGAGUGCUAAGUGUUAGGGGGUUUCCGCCCCUUAGUGCUGCAGCUAACGCAUUAAGCACUCCGCCUGGGGAGUACGACCGCAAGGUUGAAACUCAAAGGAAUUGACGGGGACCCGCACAAGCGGUGGAGCAUGUGGUUUAAUUCGAAGCAACGCGAAGAACCUUACCAAAUCUUGACAUCCUUUGACCCUUCUAGAGAUAGAAGUUUCCCCUUCGGGGGACAAAGUGACAGGUGGUGCAUGGUUGUCGUCAGCUCGUGUCGUGAGAUGUUGGGUUAAGUCCCGCAACGAGCGCAACCCUUAAGCUUAGUUGCCAUCAUUAAGUUGGGCACUCUAAGUUGACUGCCGGUGACAAACCGGAGGAAGGUGGGGAUGACGUCAAAUCAUCAUGCCCCUUAUGAUUUGGGCUACACACGUGCUACAAUGGACAAUACAAAGGGCAGCAAAACCGCGAGGUCAAGCAAAUCCCAUAAAGUUGUUCUCAGUUCGGAUUGUAGUCUGCAACUCGACUACAUGAAGCUGGAAUCGCUAGUAAUCGUAGAUCAGCAUGCUACGGUGAAUACGUUCCCGGGUCU
This 1372-nucleotide ribosomal RNA is filed under the name uncultured bacterium. Its description in RNAcentral is "bacterial SSU rRNA". It matches the Rfam family "Bacterial small subunit ribosomal RNA", at positions 28 to 1381 of the family's 1533-position model. The record is from RNAcentral.